This 21-nucleotide small nuclear RNA is filed under the name Arabidopsis thaliana (thale cress). RNAcentral describes it as "snRNA_10149". The record is from RNAcentral. Lineage: Eukaryota; Viridiplantae; Streptophyta; Magnoliopsida; Brassicales; Brassicaceae.
UUGAUGUGUACAUUCAUAUUU